RNAcentral lists this unclassified non-coding RNA (233 nucleotides) under plant metagenome. RNAcentral describes it as "partial contains small subunit ribosomal RNA, internal transcribed spacer 1, and 5.8S ribosomal RNA". The record is from RNAcentral.
UUUCCGUAGGUGAACCUGCGGAAGGAUCAUUACUGAGUGAGGGCCCUCUGGGUCCAACCUCCCACCCGUGUUUAUUAUACCUUGUUGCUUCGGUGAGCCCGCCUCACGGCCGCCGGGGGGCAUCUGCCCCCGGGCCCGCACCCACCGAAGACACCUAGAACUCUGUAUGAAGAUUGCAGUCUGAGCAAAAACUAAAUAAGUUGAAACUUUCAACAACGGAUCUCUUGGUUCCG